AUCUAGCUGAUGAGUCUCAAAUAGGAUGAAAACGCGAGUCUUGGAU
This 46-nucleotide non-coding RNA is filed under the name Schistosoma mansoni. Lineage: Eukaryota; Metazoa; Platyhelminthes; Trematoda; Strigeidida; Schistosomatidae. The record is from RNAcentral.